CCUACGGGAGGCAGCAGUGAGGAAUAUUGGUCAAUGGUCGGGAGACUGAACCAGCCAAGCCGCGUGAGGGAGGAAGGUACAGAGUAUCGUAAACCUCUUUUGUCAGGGAACAAAGGCGGGGACGUGUCCCCGGAUGAGUGUACCUGAAGAAAAAGCAUCGGCUAACUCCGUGCCAGCAGCCGCGGUAAGACGGAGGAUGCGAGCGUUAGCCGGAUUUAUUGGGUUAAAAGGGUGCGCAGGCGGUCUGUUAAGUCAGCGGUAAAAGCCCGGGGCCCAACCCGGGCCCGCCGUUGAAACUGGCAGUCUCGAGUUGGAGAGAAGUAUGCGGAAUGCGCGGUGUAGCGGUGAAAUGCAUAGAUAUCGCGCAGAACUCCGAUUGCGAAGGCAGCAUGCCGGCUCCACACUGACGCUGAGGCACGAAAGCGUGGGUAUCGAACAGGAUUAGAUACCCCUGUAGUC
Molecule: ribosomal RNA, 459 nt
Filed under: uncultured bacterium
Lineage: Bacteria
Description: partial 16S ribosomal RNA
Rfam family: Bacterial small subunit ribosomal RNA
Source: RNAcentral